AAGACUAUAGACCUGCGGAGUACCUGCGGAAGGAUCAUUAAAGAGUUUAACUACUCAAACCAUUGUGAACCUUACCUCAACCGUUGCUUCGGCGGGCGGGCCCGGGCCAAGCCCGGCGCCCCCCCGGCCCCUCGCGGGCGCCCGCCGGAGGUAAACCGAACCCUUGAAUUGUAUGGCCUCUCUGAGUCUUCUGUACUGAAUAAGUCAAAACUUUUAACAACGGAUCUCUAGAUCGGAAGA
RNAcentral lists this unclassified non-coding RNA (240 nucleotides) under soil metagenome. Its description in RNAcentral is "partial contains 5.8S ribosomal RNA, internal transcribed spacer 2, and large subunit ribosomal RNA". The record is from RNAcentral.